CAGCAGCCACGGUAAUACGAAGGGUGCAAGCGUUACUCGGAAUUACUGGGCGUAAAGCGUGCGUAGGUGGUGGUUUAAGUCCGUUGUGAAAGCCCUGGGCUCAACCUGGGAAUCGCAGUGGAUACUGGAUCACUAGAGUGUGGUAGAGGAUAGUGGAAUUUCCGGUGUAGCAGUGAAAUGCGUAGAGAUCGGAAGGAACAUCUGUGGCGAAGGCGACUAUCUGGGCCAACACUGACACUGAGGCACGAAAGCGUGGGGAGCAAACAGGAUUAGAUACCCCGGUAGUCCCUGUCUCUUAUAC
This 301-nucleotide ribosomal RNA is filed under the name uncultured bacterium. Its description in RNAcentral is "partial 16S ribosomal RNA". It matches the Rfam family "Bacterial small subunit ribosomal RNA", at positions 509 to 807 of the family's 1533-position model. The record is from RNAcentral.